UACGUAGGGGCAAGCGUUGUCCGGAAUUAUUGGGCGUAAAGCGCGCGCAGGCGGUCCUUUAAGUCUGAUGUGAAAGCCCACGGCUUAACCGUGGAGGGUCAUUGGAAACUGAGGGACUUGAGUACAGAAGAGGAGAGUGGAAUUCCACGUGUAGCGGUGAAAUGCGUAGAGAUGUGGAGGAACACCAGUGGCGAAGGCGACUCUCUGGUCUGUAACUGACGCUGAGGUGCGAAAGCGUGGGUAGCAAACAGGAUUAGAUACCCGGGUAGUCCCU
RNAcentral lists this ribosomal RNA (274 nucleotides) under uncultured prokaryote. RNAcentral's name for it is "partial 16S ribosomal RNA". It matches the Rfam family "Bacterial small subunit ribosomal RNA", at positions 524 to 798 of the family's 1533-position model. The record is from RNAcentral.